RNAcentral lists this transfer RNA (73 nucleotides) under Trichonephila clavata. It matches the Rfam family "tRNA". From Rfam's summary of the family: Transfer RNA (tRNA) molecules are approximately 80 nucleotides in length. Their secondary structure includes four short double-helical elements and three loops (D, anti-codon, and T loops). Further hydrogen bonds mediate the characteristic L-shaped molecular structure. tRNAs have two regions of fundamental functional importance: the anti-codon, which is responsible for specific mRNA codon recognition, and the 3' end, to which the tRNAs corresponding amino acid is attached (by aminoacyl-tRNA synthetases). tRNAs cope with the degeneracy of the genetic code in two manners: having more than one tRNA (with a specific anti-codon) for a particular amino acid; and 'wobble' base-pairing, i.e. permitting non-standard base-pairing at the 3rd anti-codon position. Lineage: Eukaryota; Metazoa; Arthropoda; Arachnida; Araneae; Nephilidae. The record is from Rfam by way of RNAcentral.
GUCCCUAUAGCGCAAUGGAUAGCGCGUUGGACUUCUGUUCCAAAGGUCGUGGUUUCGAAUCCCACCUAGGAUG